RNAcentral lists this ribosomal RNA (253 nucleotides) under uncultured bacterium. RNAcentral's name for it is "partial 16S ribosomal RNA". It matches the Rfam family "Bacterial small subunit ribosomal RNA", at positions 524 to 776 of the family's 1533-position model. The record is from RNAcentral.
GACGAACCGUGCGAACGUUGUUCGGAUUCACUGGGCUUAAAGGGCGCGUAGGCGGCGGAUCCAGUCGGGGGUGAAAGCUUCCCGCCCAACGGGAAAAGGGCCUCCGAUACUGAUUCGCUCGAGGGGGGUAGGGGCAUGCGGAACUAAUGGUGGAGCGGUGAAAUGCGUAGAUAUCAUUAGGAACGCCGGUGGCGAAAGCGGCGUGCUGGACCCCUUCUGACGCUGAGGCGCGAAAGCCAGGGGAGCAAACGGG